UUUUGGCCGCUAGUAAAUGUUACUUCAAAGCGCGGGGUACUUCCAGUCUGAGCAUCACUCAGACGUAUAAGCAGCAUACGAGGAUACAAUCAUUGGAAAAAAUGCAGAAUGACCCCAAAGCAGCAAUGUUUAAUGAAGAGAAGUGACUAACUUUGACUAACCUCCUGCUAGGCUGGCUAUUAUAUCCAGGGUCCCAAAUGAUGAGAUGACCUUUCCACCUUGGCCAGGACUGAAGCGUCACAGCAUGAACUGAAAACUCAUCUUCCCGCUAAACACUUCACAUCACUCUCCACUCUGCCUUCCUCCUCCACAUCUGAUAUGAACACAGCUUUACAAGAAAGGGGAGGUCCCAGUGUGGUUUCCUUCAUCCAGACAUUGAAGACAAGAGCCUGUCAAAACCUCAGCAGGAGUCCAACGGCUCUCUGUGGCCUGGUCUUGCUCCCAGCAUGGCAGGGCUGCAGCACAGAUACCACAGAGGAAUAUCAUGUCCUGAGGGAAGGGAAUCAAGCUUCUGUAGAAUAGACAACUUCCCCCAUAGGUGAGAUAAAGGGAGGAGAUGAAGAGUGUUAGGAGUGUUCUCUGCAUUUAUCACAUAUAAAAAACGUACUUGAAGUGCACGAGUAGUACUGUGGUAAUUGAAACAAAUAGAAACAAUCAAUUCCCAAUAUGUGGGACUUGCCCUAACGCAACCCUAAAAUGACUGCCAGUACAUAGGUGCAUUGACUCAUGCAUUUACCCAUUAUCUUUUAUGACCAAUAUACCACUUUGUAAAAUGUUAUGAUGGUAACAAUACUGUGUUUUUAUGAUUUAUACUGAUUGUACUGACCCAUUUGAUCAUAGAAUAGUCCAGGUUCUUAUGUUCCUAGUUUUUGCUUUGCUUUGUGCUGUGUUGCCCCUGUCGUUAGGUAACAUCCUUAAGUAAAACACAAUGAACCUGAGAUUUUUGUAAAUUAUGGUGAAUGUAUUGCCUUGUACUAAUAUUAUCACCAGGUUAGAAGGCAAUAUCUGCAUUCCUCUUUUAGCUCAGCAGCAACCAAAUUGCACAAGUACACAAAAGGUCAAGGCUCUAUAUAUGGGAAGCAGAUGCAUAAUGAAAUCACCAAAUAUUUCACUGUAAGCUCAUUGAGCCUGCAGGAGGAAAUCAGAAGGUGUGUGUAGGUGCAGUAUUUGUGUGUUUUGG
Molecule: long non-coding RNA, 1180 nt
Organism: Micropterus dolomieu (smallmouth bass)
Lineage: Eukaryota; Metazoa; Chordata; Actinopteri; Centrarchiformes; Centrarchidae
Exons: 4
Source: RefSeq, a predicted model, not a curated record